CAACAGGAAGCCACUGAAGUGAAUCCAGGAAGGGCCUUCAGAAGCCAAGAUCACGUGGAAGAUGGAGGACGUUUCCAGUCUGGGGUGGGCCGAGGAGUCGUCACUUCCCUGUCACUGAAGACAUCUAAGCAGAGACAAGCCCCUCAAGGGGUCACAGUGGAGAUGAGCUCCUGCCCAUGAGACCUCGUGCACAGUGGAAGCUCGGGCUCCUUGAUGAGAGAAGGAAUGAGAGGAAGUCACUUGUUGAAAAAGAGACACGGCGAGUCCGUUGGCAGCAUUAUGAUUUCCUUAUGUAAGGCGACCAGAAAUGUUUUGCUUAGGUGUGUUGGGAAGAAACAACUGUUUUAAAAUGCUGAAAGGGAAGUUAAUUGUCCAGUGGAUGACCUAAAAAUCUAAGUGUCUGGGAAAAGGUAAUCUUCGUUUCAGAGCUGGG
Meriones unguiculatus (Mongolian gerbil) is the source of this 433-nucleotide long non-coding RNA. RefSeq lists it as uncharacterized. The record is from RefSeq and is a predicted model, not a curated record. The transcript has 3 exons. NCBI's taxonomy places the organism in Eukaryota, Metazoa, Chordata, Mammalia, Rodentia, Muridae.